UUUUCCUUAAAGAGCCUCAGCAAUGUCAUGAAAUUGCUUCAGAAGAGGAUGGCUCUCUUCAGAAAGCAAGAAAAAGGUGGGGAUGGAAUGUGAAUAAAAAGAAGAAAUGAAGGAAUACUGAAGACUAUAUAAAACAAAAGGCCUUUGAAGAAGGGACUGACAUCCUGAAGAGUGCAUAGCUAUUUGCUUAAGAAGGAGGCAUUGCAUUCCAUCUAAAUGUUCAUUUAGACCACA
This 234-nucleotide long non-coding RNA is filed under the name Homo sapiens (human). RNAcentral's name for it is "HSALNT0019663". Lineage: Eukaryota; Metazoa; Chordata; Mammalia; Primates; Hominidae. The record is from RNAcentral.